UGGCACAAACACUUCACAGAACAAUUCAAAAUGAAGUUAAUUCUAUUUUUCUUUAUUGUCUCAAUUUCCGCUGUUCUUAGCGAGGAAGUUUUAAAGGGACCUAACGUUAUUUGUAUAAUAACAUCUAUUGUUAAUUUCGUAAAAUGUAUGAAAAAAGGUAACGGGUUCCUUAUAAAUUCGAGCGAAAGUCUGGAAUUAGAUUCGAGUCCGGCUGAAUGUUUAAAAGAGUGGGUAGUAGAAGUGUUGGCUUGUGUGUAAUUCGAUUUACAUGGCGUUCGCAUUAUAUUCUGGAGUUUGAACAUUGAAAAUAAAUAUCUAAUUGAG
Long non-coding RNA from Pieris napi, 324 nucleotides. RefSeq lists it as uncharacterized. Lineage: Eukaryota; Metazoa; Arthropoda; Insecta; Lepidoptera; Pieridae. The transcript is spliced from 2 exons. The record is from RefSeq and is a predicted model, not a curated record.